UACGAAGGGGGCUAGCGUUGUUCGGAAUUACUGGGCGUAAAGCGUACGUAGGCGGUUAUUCAAGUCCGCUGUGAAAGUCCAGGGCUCAACCCUGGAAUGCCGGUGGAAACUGUCGAGCUAGAGUCCGGAAGAGGCGAGUGGAAUUCCUGGUGUAGCGGUGAAAUGCGCAGAUAUCAGGAGGAACACCUGUGGUGUAGACGGCUCUCUGGACCGCAACUGACGCUGAGACACGAAAGCGUGGGUAGCAAACAGG
This 253-nucleotide ribosomal RNA is filed under the name uncultured bacterium. RNAcentral describes it as "partial 16S ribosomal RNA". It matches the Rfam family "Bacterial small subunit ribosomal RNA", at positions 524 to 776 of the family's 1533-position model. The record is from RNAcentral.